UGCCUUAAGUGGAGGUACCAGAGAAGUUC
Molecule: non-coding RNA, 29 nt
Filed under: Mus musculus (house mouse)
Lineage: Eukaryota; Metazoa; Chordata; Mammalia; Rodentia; Muridae
Source: RNAcentral